UACGAAGGGGGCUAGCGUUGGUAGGAUUUACUGGGCGUAAAGCGCGUGUAGGCGGGUCGUUAAGUUGGGGGUGAAAUCCCGGAGCUCAACUCCGGAACUGCCUUCAAAACUGGCGACCUGGACUCAAGCAGAGGCAAGUGGAAUUGCGAGUGUAGAGGUGAAAUUCGUAGGUAUUCGCAGGAACACCAGUGGCGAAUGCGACUUGCUGGGCUUUUAGUGACGCUGAGACGCGAAAGCGUGGUGAGCAAACAGG
This 253-nucleotide ribosomal RNA is filed under the name uncultured bacterium. RNAcentral's name for it is "partial 16S ribosomal RNA". It matches the Rfam family "Bacterial small subunit ribosomal RNA", at positions 524 to 776 of the family's 1533-position model. The record is from RNAcentral.